AUGGGCCGCCGACAGUACCACGCCGAUCGGACAGCGUACCCUCCUCCACUACAGCCUGCCCAGCCCCGGACUGCGCGCCCGAGCUGUGCGCAUGCGCGGACCGCCCGCACGGCCGCAACGCGCAGGCGCCGUGUCCACUUCCGGGAUCUGUCUGCCGCUCCCUCUGGGCUUCCGUCCUCCGCCCGCGCCCGCCGGAGCCUGUUCGCGUCGACUGCCCAGAGUCCGCGAAUCCUCCGCUCCGAGCCCGUCCGGACUCCCCCGAUCCCAGCUCUCUCUCCUCUGAAAACACUAAGAAUAAUGUCACUGCAUCAGUUUUUACUAGAGCCAAUCACCUGUCAUGCCUGGAACAGGGAUCGUACUCAGAUUGCCCUCAGUCCCAAUAAUCACGAAGUGCACAUCUAUAAGAAGAAUGGGAGCCAGUGGGUGAAAGCUCAUGAACUCAAGGAGCACAAUGGACACAUCACAGGUAUUGACUGGGCUCCCAAGAGCGACCGCAUCGUCACUUGUGGGGCAGACCGCAAUGCCUAUGUCUGGAGUCAGAAGGAUGGUGUCUGGAAGCCAACCCUGGUGAUCCUGAGAAUUAAUCGCGCAGCUACUUUUGUGAAGUGGUCCCCCCUAGAGAACAAAUUUGCUGUGGGAAGUGGAGCACGACUCAUUUCUGUUUGUUACUUUGAGUCUGAAAAUGACUGGUGGGUGAGCAAGCACAUUAAAAAGCCGAUUCGCUCCACAGUCCUCAGUUUGGAUUGGCAUCCCAACAACGUUUUGCUGGCAGCAGGAUCAUGUGACUUCAAAUGCAGAGUGUUUUCUGCCUACAUUAAAGAAGUGGAUGAAAAGCCAGCCAGCACACCCUGGGGCAGCAAGAUGCCUUUUGGGCAGCUGAUGUCAGAGUUUGGUGGCAGUGGCACUGGUGGCUGGGUCCACGGGGUCAGCUUCUCUGCCAGUGGGAGCCGCCUGGCCUGGGUCAGCCACGACAGCACCGUGUCUGUUGCUGAUGCCUCAAAAAGUGUGCAGGUCUCAACUCUGAAGACGGAGUUCCUGCCGCUCCUGAGUGUGUCAUUUGUCUCAGAGAACAGCGUCGUGGCUGCUGGCCAUGACUGCUGCCCAAUGCUCUUUAACUACGAUGACCGUGGCUGCCUGACCUUCGUCUCCAAGUUAGACAUUCCAAAACAGAGCAUCCAACGCAACAUGUCUGCCAUGGAACGCUUCCGCAACAUGGACAAGAGAGCCACGACUGAGGACCGCAACACGGCCUUGGAGACGCUGCACCAGAAUAGCAUCACGUAGGUGCCAUCUGUAGAGAGGUGGUCAGGUGACAAGGUGCCCUCCUGCCCCUCGCUGUUUCCUUACUGGGUUCCUACAAAAGCUCUAUGCCCCGCAGGCCCAGACAUUCCUUCAGGGACAAGCGCAGCAAGAAGUCUGUAUCUUCCCGACCGCCAGGCUCUCAUUUCCAGCUCGUGGUAGGGAGGGAGUCGCCACCACCUGGUCAUUCUGUCCUUCAAGGUGCAGAUUACAAGGCAGCAGCCAGCAGGAGCAGUGCAGACCUUGUUGCAGUCUGAGGUGGUGGGGUCUCAGGGCAACUGCUUCCUAGGGUACCCUUUCUCAGCUACUCGAGAACAAAAGGAGACUUUCCUGAAUGCUGUGUUCCCACAGUAGUGCACACAUAACAGAAAGCGAAGUUACAGCCUGUUGGAAAAGGUAACUGUAGCUGUCGUUUCAAGUAAUGGAUACAAAUAAGAAGAUUAUUUAAUUAAAGGAACAGAAUUUCUUAGCAUCAUGAUGACAAAGCUGAGGAGUGUCUCGACUGGGUUUUUAUCAGGUAUAUGUAAUUAUGUAAGACAACAGAACUGUGUUUUGUCCAGAAAGUUUGAUUUUUUUUUUUUUUUUUUUGAGACAGAGUCUCGCUCUGUUGACCAGGCUGGAGUUGCAGUGAGCCAAGAUUGAGCCACUGCACUCCAGCCUGGGUGACAGAGUGAGAUUCCAUCUCAAAAAAAAAAAAGGUGCCUGGAGGAGAAAUAUAUGCUUGAUAUUUUAAAUUACUGUGUUCAGAGUUGGGUCCCAUGGGCUUUUCCCUUACUGAGAAGCCUUUUAUGUUGAGAAUCUUAUUGUGGUAUUGAUGGUGGCAGGAGUAACGGAAACCUCUAGACUUCCUGUUUGAGAGAAUUACGAUGAAAUGCAGGUUGUGCUUUAUCUUCAGCAGAGAAGGGGCAGCUAUAUGUAAAAUAGGCUGCAAAUACUCUAUUGAAAAAUGAGAACCAGAGGUCUGGCACCAUGGCUCACACCUGUAAUGCUAGCAUUUUGGGAAGCCAAGGCAGGAGGAUCACUUGAGGCCAGCAGUUCAGUACCAUCCUGGGCAACAUAGCAAGACCCCAUCUCUACAAAAAAAUUUUUAAAAGUUAGCUGGCUGUGUUGGCACGCACCUGCAGUCCCAGCUACUUGGGAGGAGUGAGCUGUGAUUGUGCCACUGUAUUUCAUCCUGGGCUACAUUGCGAGAUCCUAUCUCAAAAAAAAAAAAAAAAGAACCUGAAGGCAUAGCAAAACUUACCUUUUCUCCACAUUGUUCAGGUUUCUCCUUCUAUAGCAAAACUCACCUUUUCUCCAUUCUUUAGGUUUCUCUGUCUUGAAUGACUCCGAGUUACUUCUUGUGAGUUUCUCUUAUGUUUCUAUACAGACCAAGUGCUAAGGAAAGAAACAGCUCUCAUUGCCUCUCUGAUACUUCUAGGUGAAAAAUGAAAAGACAAACCCUUGCUGAUUAGUCUACUUUUAUUUGCAGAAAUUAGGUGCUCUUUGCACUAAAGCUGUGUCAGCUAACUUUUUUUGUAAAGGACCAGAUAGUAAAUACUUUAGACUCUGAGAGGCCAUAGGUCUCUGUUGCAACUACGGAACUCUGGUUGUGGCAAGAAAGCAGGCACAGACAAUGUAAACGAAUCAGGUGGCUGUGUUCCCAUCAAACUUUAUAGACACUGAAAUUUGAAUUUCACGUAAUUUUCACUUCAUGAGAUAAUAGUCUCCUUUUAAUUUUUUUCCAGCUAUUUAAAGAUGUAAAAGCUGGGUCAAGUGCGGAGGCUCACACCUGUAAUCCCAGCACUUUGGGAGGCUGAGGUGGGCGGAUCACUUGAGGUCAGGAGGUCAAGACCAGCCUGACCAACAUGGUGAAACCCCGUCUCUACUAAAAAUACAAAAAUUCGCCAGCCUGGUGGCAGGUGCUUGUAAUCCCAGCUGCUCGAGAGGCUGAGGCAGGAGAAUUGCUUGAACCUGGGAGGUAGAGGUUGCAGUGAGCCGAGAUCAUGCCACUGCACUCCAGCCUGAGUGACAGAGUGAGACUCCAUCUCAAUAAAUAAAUAAAAUAAAAAUGUAAAACCCCCUUUUUUUUUUUUUGAGACGGAGUCUCUGUUGCCUAGGCUGGAGUACAGUGGCACGAUCUUGGCUCACU
Molecule: RNA transcript, 3430 nt
Organism: Symphalangus syndactylus (siamang)
Lineage: Eukaryota; Metazoa; Chordata; Mammalia; Primates; Hylobatidae
Gene: ARPC1A
Gene name: actin related protein 2/3 complex subunit 1A
Source: RefSeq, a predicted model, not a curated record